UUAUUAAAACCAAGAGAAAUGAGUUCAAACCUGAAAAUGCAUUUGUAGUAUAAAGUCUAAAAUUAUCUGUGAUUUCUGCUUCCAUUUCAAAGUGAAAAUCAUGAUCAUUUGUAAUGAUCAAAAGCCAGCAGCUAAUGCCCACAGAAACCAGUGUAUAAAACAGAUAAAUAAUUUUCUUGGCUCAAAGACAUUACCCUAAAUGAAGACCAACUAAUACCAUAGAAAUGCAUAUUUUCAUUAUUCACAAUGCCACAAAGAUCUGAAUGACUUUGUUGAGAUUUCUUGUUGAACUUGAAAAUGAAAUCUU
Molecule: long non-coding RNA, 307 nt
Filed under: Mytilus galloprovincialis (Mediterranean mussel)
Lineage: Eukaryota; Metazoa; Mollusca; Bivalvia; Mytilida; Mytilidae
Source: RNAcentral